RNAcentral lists this ribosomal RNA (401 nucleotides) under uncultured bacterium. RNAcentral describes it as "bacterial SSU rRNA". It matches the Rfam family "Bacterial small subunit ribosomal RNA", at positions 362 to 777 of the family's 1533-position model. The record is from RNAcentral.
UAUUGGACAAUGGGGGGAACCCUGAUCCAGCGACGCCGCGUGAGUGAAGAAGUAUCUCGGGAUGUAAAGCUCUAUCAGCAGGGAAGCAAGACAUGACGGUACCUGAGUAAGAAGCCCCGGCUAACUACGUGCCAGCAGCCGCGGUAAUACGUAGGGGGCAAGCGUUAUCCGGAAUUACUGGGUGUAAAGGGAGCGUAGACGGUGAAGUAAGUCUGGAGUGAAAGGCGGGGGCCCAACCCCCGGACUGCUCUGGAAACUAUUUGACUGGAGUGCAGGAGAGGUAAGCGGAAUUCCUAGUGUAGCGGUGAAAUGCGUAGAUAUUAGGAGGAACACCAGUGGCGAAGGCGGCUUACUGGACUGUAACUGACGUUGAGGCUCGAAAGCGUGGGGGGCAACCAGGA